Molecule: ribosomal RNA, 498 nt
Filed under: uncultured bacterium
Lineage: Bacteria
Description: partial 16S ribosomal RNA
Rfam family: Bacterial small subunit ribosomal RNA
Source: RNAcentral
AUUGAACGCUGGCGGCAUGCUUUACACAUGCAAGUCGAACGGUAACGCGGGGCAACCUGGCGACGAGUGGCGAACGGGAGAGUAAUGCAUCGGAACGUGCCGGGUAGUGGGGGAUAACUGCUCGAAAGAGCAGCUAAUACCGCAUACGACCUGAGGGUGAAAGGGGGGGAUCGCAAGACCUCUCGCUUUUGGAGCGGCCGAGGUCGGAUUAGCUAGUUGGGGGGGUAAGGGCCCACCAAGGCGACGAUCCGUAGCUGGUCUGAGAGGACGACCAGCCACACUGGGACUGGGACACAGCCCAGACUCCUACGGGAGGCAGCAGUGGGGAAUUUGGGACAAUGGACGCAAGUCUGAUCCAGCCAUGCCGCGUGCGGGAAGAAGGCCUUCGGGUUGUAAACCGCUUUUGUCAGAGAAGAAAUCUUCUGGGUUAAUACCUCGGGAGGAUGACGGUAUCUGAAGAAUAAGCACCGGCUAACUACGUGCCAGCCGCCGCGGUAA